This 267-nucleotide ribosomal RNA is filed under the name Triticum aestivum (bread wheat). RNAcentral describes it as "partial small subunit ribosomal RNA". Lineage: Eukaryota; Viridiplantae; Streptophyta; Magnoliopsida; Poales; Poaceae. The record is from RNAcentral.
AUGUCGAGCAGAAGGUCGUCGCGCGGCGCCAUCUCCGACGAGGAGGUCAACGAGCUCAUGUCCAAGCUCCAGUCUCUGCUCCCCAACUCUCGCCGCCGCGGCUCCAGCCAGGCGUCGACGACGAAGCUGCUGAAGGAGACGUGCAGCUACAUCAAGAGCCUCCACCGGGAGGUGGACGACCUCAGCGACCGGCUGUCGGACCUCAUGUCGACCAUGGACCACAAUAGCGCCGAAGCGGAGAUCAUCCGCGGCAUCCUCCGCUCGUGA